Molecule: small RNA, 982 nt
Filed under: Pongo abelii (Sumatran orangutan)
Lineage: Eukaryota; Metazoa; Chordata; Mammalia; Primates; Hominidae
Description: processed transcript
Source: RNAcentral
UGAUUCUCAGUCCUCUUCUGAUUCCUCUGAUUCUGAAAGUGCUUCUGAAGAGAAAUCAAAGAAAAGAAAAAAGAAACAUCGGAAAAAUUCCCGAAAACACAAGAAAGAAAAGAAGAAGCGAAAGAAAAGCAAGAAGAGUUGGUUUGUCAGAGGAAUAGAAGAUUUUUCCCAUGCGAUCACAUCUUUGUGCAUCUAGUGAGAGUGAAGCUGAAAAUCUUGAAGCACAACCCCAGUCUACUGUCCGUCCAGAAGAGAUCCCUCCUAUACCUGAAAAUAGAUUCCUAAUGAGAAAAAGUCCUCCUAAAGCUGAUGAGAAGGAAAGGAAAAACAGAGAGAGAGAAAGAGAAAGAGAGUGUAAUCCACCUAACUCCCAGCCUGCUUCGUACCAGAGACGACUUUUAGUUACUAGAUCUGGCAGGAAAAUUAAAGGAAGAGGACCAAGGCGUUAUCGAACUCCUUCCAGAUCCAGAUCAAGGGAUCGUUUCAGACGUAGUGAGACUCCUCCACAUUGGAGGCAAGAGAUGCAGAGAGCUCAAAGAAUGAGGGUAUCAAGUGGUGAAAGAUGGAUCAAGGGGGAUAAGAGUGAGUUGAAUGAAAUAAAAGAAAAUCAGAGAAGUCCAGUUAGAGUAAAAGAGAGAAAAAUAACAGAUCACAGGAAUGUAUCUGAGAGUCCAAACAGAAAAAAUGAAAAGGAGAAGAAAGUUAAAGACCAUAAAUCUAACAGCAAAGAGAGAGACAUCAGAAGAAAUUCAGAAAAAGAUGAUAAAUAUAAAAACAAAGUGAAGAAAAGGGCCAAAUCUAAAAGUAGGAGUAAGAGCAAAGAGAAAUCAAAGAGUAAAGAAAGAGAUUCAAAACAUAAUAGAAAUGAAGAAAAGAGGAUGAGGUCAAGGAGUAAAGGACGGGAUCAUGAGAAUGUUAAAGAAAAAGAAAAGCAGUCUGAUUCUAAAGGAAAAGAUCAGGAAAGGAGUAGAAGUAAAGAGAA